GACGAACGCUGGCGGCGUGCUUAACACAUGCAAGUCGAACGGAAAGGCCCUGCUUGCAGGGUACUCGAGUGGCGAACGGGUGAGUAACACGUGGGUGAUCUGCCCUGCACUUCGGGAUAAGCCUGGGUAACUGGGUCUAAUACCGGAUAGGAGCCAUUUUUAGUGUGAUGGUUGGAAAGUUUUUUUGGUGUAGGAUGAGCUCGCGGCCUAUCAGCUUGUUGGUGGGGUAAUGGCUUACCAAGGCGGCGGCGGGUAGCCGGCCUUGGAGGGCGGACGGCCACAUUGAGACUGAGAUUCGGCCCAGGCUCCUACGGGAAGCAGCAGUGGGAGAUAUUGCACAAUGGGCGCAAGCCUGAUGCAGCGACGCCGCGUGGGGGAUGACGGCCUUCGGGUUGUAAACUCCUUUCGCUAGGGACGAAGCUUUUUGUGACGGUACCUAGAGAAGAAGCACCGGCUAACUACGUG
This 465-nucleotide ribosomal RNA is filed under the name uncultured bacterium. RNAcentral describes it as "partial 16S ribosomal RNA". It matches the Rfam family "Bacterial small subunit ribosomal RNA", at positions 28 to 507 of the family's 1533-position model. The record is from RNAcentral.